CAUGUACUGGUGGGGUCCCUCGGCCUGGCCUGUGCCCUUUCACAAUCCGGGACCCCUUGGGGGAUGUCGGAGAACCGGUUUCAGCCCCAUCCCACAGGCCAGGCCGAGGGACCCCAUUGGUGCACG
RNAcentral lists this microRNA precursor (126 nucleotides) under Myotis davidii. RNAcentral's name for it is "mir-9193 microRNA precursor family". It matches the Rfam family "mir-9193 microRNA precursor family". Lineage: Eukaryota; Metazoa; Chordata; Mammalia; Chiroptera; Vespertilionidae. The record is from Rfam by way of RNAcentral.